UAGAAAAAUUGAUACCCGCCUAGGAUUCUU
Molecule: small RNA, 30 nt
Filed under: Bombyx mori (domestic silkworm)
Lineage: Eukaryota; Metazoa; Arthropoda; Insecta; Lepidoptera; Bombycidae
Description: ovarian small RNA-6236
Source: RNAcentral